Molecule: small nuclear RNA, 129 nt
Filed under: Carlito syrichta (Philippine tarsier)
Lineage: Eukaryota; Metazoa; Chordata; Mammalia; Primates; Tarsiidae
Description: U4 spliceosomal RNA (ENSTSYG00000020281.2)
Rfam family: U4 spliceosomal RNA
About the family: U4 small nuclear RNA (U4 snRNA) is a component of the major U2-dependent spliceosome.
Source: Rfam by way of RNAcentral
AGCUUUGCACAGUGGCAGUAUCGUAGCCAAUGAGAUUUACUGAGGUGCGAUUAUUGCUAAUUGAAAACUUUUCCCAACUAAUUAAAUUAUAAUAUUCUGAUUAUACAAAAUAGCAGUUCUACUUAUAGA